This 75-nucleotide transfer RNA is filed under the name Chloroflexota bacterium. RNAcentral describes it as "Chloroflexi bacterium (groundwater metagenome) tRNA-Thr". It matches the Rfam family "tRNA". From Rfam's summary of the family: Transfer RNA (tRNA) molecules are approximately 80 nucleotides in length. Their secondary structure includes four short double-helical elements and three loops (D, anti-codon, and T loops). Lineage: Bacteria; Bacillati; Chloroflexota. The record is from RNAcentral.
GCCACCGUAGCUCAGAGGCAGAGCAGCGGUUUCGUAAACCGCGGGUCGUCGGUUCGACUCCGACCGGUGGCUCCA